GAUGAACGCUGGCGGCGUGCCUAAUACAUGCAAGUCGAGCGAACAGACGAGGAGCUUGCUCCUCUGACGUUAGCGGCGGACGGGUGAGUAACACGUGGAUAACCUACCUAUAAGACUGGGGUAACUUCGGGAAACCGGAGCUAAUACCGGAUAAUAUAUUGAACCGCAUGGUUCAAUAGUGAAAGACGGUUUUGCUGUCACUUAUAGAUGGAUCCGCGCCGCAUUAGCUAGUUGGUAAGGUAACGGCUUACCAAGGCAACGAUGCGUAGCCGACCUGAGAGGGUGAUCGGCCACACUGGAACUGAGACACGGUCCAGACUCCUACGGGAGGCAGCAGUAGGGAAUCUUCCGCAAUGGGCGAAAGCCUGACGGAGCAACGCCGCGUGAGUGAUGAAGGUCUUCGGAUCGUAAAACUCUGUUAUUAGGGAAGAACAAAUGUGUAAGUAACUAUGCACGUCUUGACGGUACCUAAUCAGAAAGCCACGGCCAACUACGUG
Molecule: ribosomal RNA, 497 nt
Filed under: uncultured bacterium
Lineage: Bacteria
Description: partial 16S ribosomal RNA
Rfam family: Bacterial small subunit ribosomal RNA
Source: RNAcentral